This 741-nucleotide ribosomal RNA is filed under the name uncultured bacterium. RNAcentral's name for it is "bacterial SSU rRNA". It matches the Rfam family "Bacterial small subunit ribosomal RNA", at positions 8 to 722 of the family's 1533-position model. The record is from RNAcentral.
AGAGUUUGAUCAUGGCUCAGAACGAACGCUGGCGGCGUGCCUAACACAUGCAAGUCGUGCGAGAAAGGGAACUUCGGUUCCUGAGUAAAGCGGCGCAAGGGUGAGUAGCGCGUGGGUAAGCUACCUCCGAGAUCGGGACAACCUGGCGAAAGCCGGGCUAAUACCGGAUAAGCCCACGGGGGCUUCGGCUCCUGCGGGAAAUGGGUGCCCUCUCCACGGAAGGUACCGCUCGAAGAUGUGCCCGCGUCCGAUUAGCUAGUUGGUGAGGUAACGGCUCACCAAGGCUGAGAUCGGUAGCUGGUCUGAGAGGACGAUCAGCCACACUGGGACUGAGACACGGCCCAGACUCCUACGGGAGGCAGCAGUGGGGAAUAUUGCGCAAUGGGGGAAACCCUGACGCAGCAACGCCGCGUGGGUGAUGAAGGCCCUCGGGUCGUAAAGCCCUGUCGGGCGGGACGAACAGUCGCGGGUGAACAACCCGACGACUUUGACGGUACCGCCAAAGGAGGCACCGGCUAACUCCGUGCCAGCAGCCGCGGUAAUACGGAGGGUGCAAGCGUUGUUCGGAAUUACUGGGCGUAAAGAGCUUGUAGGCGGCUCGUUAAGUCUGAUGUGAAAGCCCUCGGCUCAACCGGGGAAGUGCAUUGGAUACUGGCGAGCUUGAGUAUGGGAGAGGAGAGCGGAAUUCCCGGUGUAGAGGUGAAAUUCGUAGAUAUCGGGAGGAACAUCUGUGGCGAAGGC